RNAcentral lists this ribosomal RNA (301 nucleotides) under uncultured bacterium. Its description in RNAcentral is "partial 16S ribosomal RNA". It matches the Rfam family "Bacterial small subunit ribosomal RNA", at positions 509 to 807 of the family's 1533-position model. The record is from RNAcentral.
CAGCAGCCACGGUAAUACGAAGGGGGCAAGCGUUGUCCGGAAUUAUUGGGCGUAAAGGGCUCGCAGGCGGUUUCUUAAGUCUGAUGUGAAAGCCCCCGGCUCAACCGGGGAGGGUCAUUGGAAACUGGGAAACUUGAGUGCAGAAGAGGAGAGUGGAAUUCCACGUGUAGCGGUGAAAUGCGUAGAGAUGUGGAGGAACACCAGUGGCGAAGGCGACUCUCUGGUCUGUAACUGACGCUGAGGAGCGAAAGCGUGGGGAGCGAACAGGAUUAGAUACCCCUGUAGUCCCUGUCUCUUAUAC